This 466-nucleotide ribosomal RNA is filed under the name uncultured bacterium. Its description in RNAcentral is "partial 16S ribosomal RNA". It matches the Rfam family "Bacterial small subunit ribosomal RNA", at positions 339 to 795 of the family's 1533-position model. The record is from RNAcentral.
CUACGGGCGGCUGCAGUGGGGAAUAUUGCGCAAUGGCCGCAAGGCUGACGCAGCGACGCCGCGUGUGGGAUGACGGCCUUCGGGUUGUAAACCACUGUCAGGGGGGACGAAUACCCGGCCUCGAAUAGGGGACCGGGGGUGACGGUACCCCCAGAGGAAGCACCGGCCAACUCCGUGCCAGCAGCCGCGGGUAAGACGGUGGGUGCAAGCGUUGUCCGGAUUCACUGGGCGUAAAGCGCGCGUAGGCGGCCGUUUAAGUCAUCUGUGAAAGCCCGGGGCUCAACUCCGGGACUGCAGGCGAAACUGGAUGGCUAGAGCUCGGUAGAGGGGAGUAGAAUUCCCGGUGUAGCGGUGGAAUGCGUAGAUAUCGGGAAGAAUACCAGUGGCGAAGGCGGCUCGCUGGGCCGAAGCUGACGCUGAGGUGCGAAAGCGUGGGGAGCAAACAGGAUUAGAUACCCCUGUAGUC